GAUGAAGAACGUAGCGAAAUGCGAUAAGUAAUGUGAAUUGCAGAAUUCAGUGAAUCAUCGAAUCUUUGAACGCACAUUGCGCCCGCCAGUAUUCUGGCGGACAUGCCUGUUCGAGCGUCAUUUCAACCAUCAAGCCCCCGGCUUGUGUUGGGGACCUGCGGCUGCCGCAGGCCCUGAAAACCAGUGGCGGGCUCGCUAGUCACUCCGAGCGUAGUAAUACAUCUCGCUCAGGGCGUGCUGCGGGUUCCGGCCGUUAAAAAGCCUUAUUUACCCAAGGUUGACCUCGGAUCAGGUAGGAAGACCCGCUGAACUUAAGCAUAUCAAUAAGCGGAGGA
Molecule: unclassified non-coding RNA, 335 nt
Filed under: soil metagenome
Description: partial contains 5.8S ribosomal RNA, internal transcribed spacer 2, and large subunit ribosomal RNA
Rfam family: 5.8S ribosomal RNA (bases 1-120)
Source: RNAcentral